RNAcentral lists this ribosomal RNA (467 nucleotides) under uncultured bacterium. Its description in RNAcentral is "partial 16S ribosomal RNA". It matches the Rfam family "Bacterial small subunit ribosomal RNA", at positions 28 to 507 of the family's 1533-position model. The record is from RNAcentral.
GACGAACGCUGGCGGCGUGCUUAACACAUGCAAGUCGAACGGAAAGGCCCUGCUUUUGUGGGGUGCUCGAGUGGCGAACGGGUGAGUAACACGUGAGUAACCUGCCCUUGACUGUGGGAUAACUUCAGGAAACUGGGGCUAAUACCGGAUAGGAGCUCCUGCUGCAUGGGGGGGGUUGGAAAGUUUCGGCGGUUGGGGAUGGACUCGCGGCUUAUCAGCUUGUUGGUGGGGAGGUGGCUCACCAAGGCUUGGACGGGUAGCCGGCCUGGGAGGGGGACCGGCCCCAUGGGCCUGCGGUAGGGACCAGUGUGCCAUGGUGGGCAAUGGGCGGGAAUAUUACCCAACAGGGCGGAGCCUGAUGCAGCGGCGCCGCGUGCGGAAUGACGGCUUUCGGGUUGUAAACCGCUUUGGCCUGUGACGAAGCGUGGAUGACGGUAAUGGGUAAAGAAGCACCGGCUAACUACGUG